This is a long non-coding RNA of Astatotilapia calliptera (eastern happy), 1215 nucleotides long. Lineage: Eukaryota; Metazoa; Chordata; Actinopteri; Cichliformes; Cichlidae. The record is from Ensembl.
GGACGCCACGCACCGGCCUUCCUAUGGGACCCUCUGGUUACCGGUAACUGGGCGUGUCUGACCACAUGCCACAGGCCCUUCGCUGUCUCCUCGUAGGAUUUGCUGUUUACCAUAAGGCGACCCCCCCCUAGUGGUGGAGGACUCUAUACAGCCGAAGGUGCUGAACAAUGGGGGCAAGUGCGCUUCACUCCGAGGGUGGAAGGCUCAAGGAACAAGCUGAUGCACUGGUGAACUCAGAACAAGACAUAAGCUCUGCACGCCUCUUGUUUGCACUGAGUUACACAGAAGCAUGAGAUGCUCAGAAUCCCGGUCCUAUCUGAUUUAGAUCUGUUUUCUGUUUCCAAUCAGUGAGCAGAAUGACUGAAGGGGAACACAUGCUGCGAAUAAAGCAAACAUUGUGCAUUUUUUUUCUCUUUUUUUCUUUUCUCCACUGCCAGGAUGCCAGCCUGUCACAUUCAAAUUUAAACUUUCAAGCUUUCUGAUGUUUUCCUAGAAAUGUGUUUUUCAACUAUUUAACUAUUUUUACUUGAUUUCCAAAUGUUUUUAGUAAUGCAGAACACAUGAAUUACUCAACCCGACACAAAUGUAUUUUUUUCGUCUUCUUUUCUUGUCCUUUUUUUUUUGUUUGUUAAUUUCCUGAAGUUCUUGAAAAUGUUUCCACAUGACACAUAUUUCCCAGCAGUCCCAGUGGUGGCAGCAGGUGCAAACACCAUCUUUCUCAAUAAAAGGUCCUAAUAUUUCUUCUUUAACAUCAAGUGAUCACCUAGUGAGUCGAAAUCCUAGAUAAUGUGACAAAGGUUGUUAGCCAUACAGUAGCACAGAGGUUUCUUCCUGUAAAAAGGGAGUUUUUCCUUCCCACUGUCGCCAAAGCGCUAAAUCAUAAGGGAUCAUAUGAUCGAUGGGUUUUUCUCUGUAUGUAUUAUUGUAAGAUCUACCUUACAAUAUAAAGCGCCUUGAGGCGACUCUUUGAAUUGAUUUAGUACAGUUAGAUCUACACAUAAAAAACAGGUACUAUAUUUAGCAAAUCACUUAAUUUGAAAUGUUUUGUAGAGUUCUGUGGGUACUGUGGUAUCUUUGGUACUGAAUAUUGAAUAAUCCUGCUCUUUUACAGUUCCAGUCUCAAAGAUCAUUAUGGGAAGAGAUGAACAACUAUUACUUAGGACUAACAGCUUCUACUAAAACAACAAAUUGGUAGAGACUUAAUGAAUAUGUUAG